GCUGGGAUAGCUCAGCUGGAACACCAUGAAACUCUUAAUCUCAGGGUUGUGGGUUCGAGCCCCAUGUUGGGCA
RNAcentral lists this transfer RNA (73 nucleotides) under Podarcis lilfordi (Lilford's wall lizard). RNAcentral describes it as "tRNA.Lys". The stretch from base 10 to 73 matches the Rfam family "tRNA". Rfam says of the family: Transfer RNA (tRNA) molecules are approximately 80 nucleotides in length. Their secondary structure includes four short double-helical elements and three loops (D, anti-codon, and T loops). Further hydrogen bonds mediate the characteristic L-shaped molecular structure. tRNAs have two regions of fundamental functional importance: the anti-codon, which is responsible for specific mRNA codon recognition, and the 3' end, to which the tRNAs corresponding amino acid is attached (by aminoacyl-tRNA synthetases). tRNAs cope with the degeneracy of the genetic code in two manners: having more than one tRNA (with a specific anti-codon) for a particular amino acid; and 'wobble' base-pairing, i.e. permitting non-standard base-pairing at the 3rd anti-codon position. The record is from RNAcentral. Lineage: Eukaryota; Metazoa; Chordata; Lepidosauria; Squamata; Lacertidae.